Molecule: RNA transcript, 1045 nt
Organism: Solanum dulcamara
Lineage: Eukaryota; Viridiplantae; Streptophyta; Magnoliopsida; Solanales; Solanaceae
Gene name: serine/arginine-rich splicing factor SR45a-like
Exons: 7
Source: RefSeq, a predicted model, not a curated record
UAGAGCAUAAUUACUACAUCACAUCACAUCACAUCACAUCCCUUUCCCCUAAGAAGCUUCUGGCAGCAAAAUCGUUUUCUUCCCCGUUUUGGCGAUUUAGGGCUUCCUCGCAUCCUGGGAAAUGGCUCAUUCUCCUCGCAAAAGGUAUUCACGCUCUCCUUCUCCUUGGGAAGAAAAGUCGAGAUCUAGAUCUAGAUCAAGGUCUAGAUCGCCACCUGGGUCAUAUUCAAGGCCAAAGGGAAGAUCUAGGUCCAGAUCAAGGUCAAGAAGUCGUGGCAGGGAAGAAGUUUCUAAUCCAGGAAACACACUUUAUGUGACUGGUUUGUCUACAAGGGUCACUGAAAGGGACCUGGAGGAGCAUUUCUCAAAGGAGGGAAAGGUGAAAUCAGUUUUUCUUGUCAUGGAGCCGCGUUCUCGGAUUUCUCGUGGUUUUGCUUUUAUAACGAUGGAUAGCAUGGAGGAUGCUAAUCGUUGCAUUAAACACCUUAAUCAGUCGGUUCUUGAAGGCCGUUACAUUACAGUGGAAAAGUCUCGAAGGAAACGCGCAAGGACUCCUACUCCUGGUCACUAUCUAGGGCUUAAGAAUGCAAGGGGUGACGGUUAUCGUGGUGAUCGUGGAGACCUUGGUAGGUAUAGAGACCGUGGGGACUAUGGGUACCGAAGAUCUCCAAGGCAUUCACCAUAUAGAGGUGGACGAGAUUAUUCUCCUAGGCGCUCGCCUUAUGGGGGAAGGUCAAGAAGGGAGCGUUCUAGGUCAUAUUCUCCUUAUGGAAGGAGCUAUCCUCGUGGUCCCAGAUAGGACUUCGGCAAGUCGUCUGAAUCCCCAGUGGCAAUGGAAAACUGCUACAGGGAUCUAUAUAGUGUGGUGUAUCUAAGUUAGGAAGGAUGAUGAUAUUAAUGAAUGAAUGUUUAGUGUGUUUGUGUAUUGUCCUUAUCGCUAGCUGACUUCCUUACUGUAGCUGUGUUUGCAACAAGGUUUAAGUAGUGAACAAAAUGAAAUUACUAACCAUGGGAAAUAUAGUUCUCUACUGCUGAUUUGAUGGAA